Long non-coding RNA from Gasterosteus aculeatus aculeatus (three-spined stickleback), 1774 nucleotides. The record is from Ensembl. Lineage: Eukaryota; Metazoa; Chordata; Actinopteri; Perciformes; Gasterosteidae.
GUUCAGGACGUGGUGAGGAACUGACUAGGAAGUGGUGAGGAAAGGUUCAGGACGUGGCGAGGAAAGGUUCAGGACGUGGCGAGGAAAGGUUCAGGACGUGGCGAGGAAAGGUUCAGGACGUGGUGAGGAAAUGACUAGGAAGUGGUGAGGAAAGGUGCAGGAAGUGGUGAGGAAAGGUUCAGGACGUGGCGAGGAAAGGUUCAGGACGUGGCGAGGAAAGGUUCAGGAAGUGGUGAGGAAAGGUGCAGGAAGUGGUGAGGAAAUGACGGACCUCUAUAACUAGGUGGAAGCAGGAAGUUGGUUCGUGAACUGUAAUUAUCAGGGACCCUUUUGGUUUUUGUGGUUAACGGUUCAGGUUAGUCUGUGUGAAGAAUCUUGAAAAAUAACCGCUUUAAUCCCGAAAGAAGCGUUUGUGUUCUGUUUAAAGAACACGGGCGACCUGGCGAGGUAGAGGAGCGGAGGCGAGGGAGGACACGUCUCACAUGUCAGGGACGGCGUGAUGAAAGCAGAGCAUAAUGAGGUUAAAAGACCUGGUUCUCACCUCCAGAGGUCCUGAAGGAGGACCCGGUGCUGAGUGACGGGCCCCUUUUGAAAUGGAAAUACGUGACUCCUCUUUUCUCUUUAACGGAGAACCCGGUGGCCCGCCAUGAUGAAGAAGUCCAACAUUAAAUGUUGAUCAGAGAAUAUCAAUGUGAGGCAGCUGCACACGUUGAGCGUGUUUCUUCACAUGCUCUUCGUUAAUAUUUGAACAGAAGAUCAGAGGGAUGGACUUUCUACAGCGACGUUGGACCUCCAGGACUUAAAGAAUCCUUCUCCAACUAAACGCCUGGUGGCUUCACACAGAACGCUGUGUUCUGCUGAUGGAAAGCUUGACGUGUAACACGUAACAUGUAACAUGAUAACAUGUCAUAUCAUCACAUGCACCAGCUGCUAAUUAACAGGAACUUUUAGCAAUAAGGAUUCGGAUUUAGUUCCGUUAGUUUUCCUGUAACGUGAAGGACCAAUAACACGUGACAGGAAGUGACUCUUGUCAUUCUCAAACAUUUGGUAACUUUUUCGCCUCCUCUUCUUUUAUCGUCUCUCCCCUAAAACAAAGCCCUCAUAACUCUUCCUCCCCAUCGGCGUACUGUGUAACGCCCACGUACCUUAAUCUCAAACCCAAGAAGAAGCCUGAUUACCUCCUGCUGCCUGGACCAAUCAGAGAGCAGCACCGGGCCGGCGGGGCGUAAUGUGCGUUAUUAUUAUUCCUGUUGCCGGCUCCUGAUAAGUGGACCGGGCCCUUGAACCGCCGAGUGCUUCUCUGAAUAUACUGCUGCUGGUUUUAUUCCCCCCGGUGGAUCCCUGUCACCUCAGUCAUGCCCCCCCCACGUUUUAUACUCCCGUCCCGUGUUAUUUAUCCACCGCAAUUUCCCCUCGGUGGAGCGCACGGCUAAUGCCGAGUUUUAAUAUGUUAUUUGCACAUAAAAAACAAGCUAUUUACAGCACGCGUGUGCGCAGACGGCAGGAAAACGAAUGCCCCCCCCGGCACCCCCCCGACUCCGAUCUGUUGUAUCGCGGUUUAACAAUCUGGAUGGCUAAUAGAACCAUUUAUCACGGCGCCGCCGUCGGUUCCUCGGCCCCAGAGGCCUGUGGAAAUGCAGACAGAGUCACUUUGUUUAAAGGAGUGGAUCCGACACGCGGGGACUCAAUUAAGGGACGGACGCAGGUGGCUCCGGUCACACGCGGAGCCGCUCCAACGGGACAUAAAAAGAACCUCUGGCACGCCCUCUUUCUU